RNAcentral lists this long non-coding RNA (2747 nucleotides) under Homo sapiens (human). Its description in RNAcentral is "HSALNT0223729". Lineage: Eukaryota; Metazoa; Chordata; Mammalia; Primates; Hominidae. The record is from RNAcentral.
GAUCCGCCCGCCUCGGCCUCCCAAAGUGCUGGGAUUACAUAUUUUUCUACUUUAUUCGUCAAAGAGAGGUGCCAUUUUACAUUUCCAUAUUUUACCCUGGAGGAUUUAUUUUUCACUUCUACUAAAGAGAUGCAUAAAAGUUUGUGUUGGGGAUGAGGAAUUAGCCGAGCGACGCAGAUGGCGUUCAUAAACCCCUGCUGCCACCUUGUGGUGGUGUUGAGAAGCGACAGAGAGCCCACCCCCUCCAGGCUAAGAUAAUUGAACAAGAUGCUCAUAAUAUUACCCAAGUCUUAGAAGAAGACAGACACUCCUCAGGAUAAUAAAACACAGGAGAUAUGCCAACAGCACAAGAUAUCUGAUAUAUUUUAGGUAAUCCACCUGGAGACCAGAUGACCAUAAUGGCCUUUUUCCAUCCCACCAGCCGGAUCUGAGGCUCCCUUUACCCUGUCUCCAGCAACGGGUCUGGACAAAACAGGAAAACCCACUCCAAAGGGCUAAUCCACAGACUGACAAUGCAUAGCCAGGGCCAGGGCCCAGGAAAAAGAUGAGGGGUAAAAGGGCUGACAGCAAGAGAUGGGACGGAAGAGAUCCAAGGGCAUCUCCUUCUGCUUCUGCACUGACAGAGUCAUUAUGGACUGCGAGUACAUGUGGAAGAGAUACUGAGAAGACAGAGAAAUAUGAUUGACUAUAAAGGGUGCCCCCAAGCUUGGAAUAAGGCCUACUACUCAGAAAUGGUACAUGGGGAUGAGCUGAGUAGACUAUUCCUUAACCACUCCUUUUACUCCGAAUACAAUCAUGACAAAACAACAUUUUGGUUAAUAACGGGCCACAUAUGCAAUAGUGGUCCCAUAAGAUUUUAAUACUGUUUUUGUUUCUUUGCUGCUUGUUUGUUUUUAGAGACAAGAUCUCACUCUGUUACUCAGGCUGGAAUGCAGUGAUGCGAUCAUAGCUCGCUGCAGCCUCCAACUCCUGGGCUACAGCUAUCUGCCCACCUUACCUCUCAAUAAGUAGCUAGGAUUACAGGUGCAAGCCACCAUACUCAGCUAAUUUUUAAAAAUAUUUUUGCAGAGAUGGAGUUUCACUAUGUUUCCCAGGCUGGUCUCAAAUUCCUGGCCUCAAAAGAUCCUCCUGCCUUGCCUCCCAAAGCACUGGGAUUAUAGGUAUAAGUCACUGCACCAAGGCCUAAUACUGUAUUUUUAGUGUACCUUAUUUAUGUUUAGAUACACGAAUACUUACCAUUAUGUUAUAAUUGCCUACAAUAUUCAAUACAGUAGCAUACUGUACAGGUCUGUAGCCUAGGAACAAUAGGCCACACUAUAUAGGCUAGGUGUAUAGUAGACUAGACCAUUUAGGUUUGUGCAUGUAUACCCUAUGAAGUUUGCAUGAUGAUGAAAUCACCUCAUGAUGCAUUUCUCAGAACCUAUCCCCAUUGUUAAUUAAGCAUGACUUUAGACCGAUUCUAUCACUUGAACAAUGAAGUUAAGAAUUGAUUGAAGGAAGUUUUCACUUAACCAAGGCAGAUGGAACACACAUGUUUACCUCCACCUCUUCCCAAAACCUCAUAGAAGGACACUAAAGGAAUAAGAAGGAGAAUGACAGACUACAGAUGUCAAUCAAAUUUGUGAAUAUGUAAAGCAGUUGUAUGAAUGGUACAGACUUAGCUGUGAAAGCAGAAAUCUGACUGCCUGCAGGGGAAGAGAAACUGGUAAAAAGAAACUGACUCCCAGCCCAGAAGCCUGGGAAGUUUCAGGAAUUGAGAUAAAAGCACUUGCAAAGGGAGAGGACAGGAUGGGUUAAGCAGUGCGAGUGAGUUCCUAAAAGCAGAACUCACUCCAGGAGGGCUGUCUGUAAGGGAAAACCAGGAAACUCGGAUGUUACUUGAGUGUGUGUGACAGCAUCAGAAAUGUGUAAGAGUUAUUUCAGAAUGUUUGGGGCUGAAUCAGUGAUAAUUAAUGUCUAUAAAACUCAGGAAAUAAAAAGUAAGACAAUUAUUUAAAAUGGUAUAAGUUAAGUAAAAUCAUAAUACAUGCUCUAGCUAUGAAUAGUAUUUUCAUAGUCACAAUGACAAUACAAAAUCUUCACUUGACAAAAAAAUGUGAUAUAGGUUGGGAGCAGUAGCUCAUGCCUGUAAUCCCAGCACUUUGGGAGGCCAAGGUGGGCAGAUCACCUGAGGUCAGAAGUUCCAGACCAGCCUGGCCAACAUGGUGAAACCCCAUCUCUACUAAAAACACAAAAAGUGAGCCAGGCGUGGUGGCAGGCACCUGUAGUCCUAGCUACUUGGGAGGUUGAGGCAGGAGAAUCACUUGAACUCAGGAGGUGUAGGUUGCAGUGAGCUGAGAUAGUACCACUGCAUUCCAGCGUGGGCGACAGAGUGAGACUCCGUCUCAAAAAAAAAGUGAUAACUACACUGGGAGGACGGGGAGAGGGAAUGUAUGGUGGUUUAGAAAGUAUAAUAGAAUUUCAGUCAUAAAGUCGAUAGAUGAUUUCUAAAAUUUCAAAAAUCAUAAGCAGUAGUAUAAACAUGUUGUGUAGAAAUAUCAAGAUUUUAAAAAGAGAGACAGAAGAAAAACUUAGAAGAGUUUUAAGGAUUUCUUCUGAGUGGUGAAGAUGGGAAGCAGAAACUGAGGUUCCAGGAGACUACAGUAGAGGACUGCCUACUUUCCUAUAAGUCACUCAGUAUCAUUUGUCUUUUAAAAUUAUGCACAUAUAUUGCUUUGGUCAGAAUUAAAUUACUUUUUAAAAAGGAA